RNAcentral lists this transfer RNA (64 nucleotides) under Staphylinidae sp. BMNH 1274234. RNAcentral's name for it is "tRNA-Glu". It matches the Rfam family "tRNA". Rfam says of the family: Transfer RNA (tRNA) molecules are approximately 80 nucleotides in length. Their secondary structure includes four short double-helical elements and three loops (D, anti-codon, and T loops). The record is from RNAcentral. Lineage: Eukaryota; Metazoa; Arthropoda; Insecta; Coleoptera; Staphylinidae.
AUUUAUAUAGUUUAAUUUAAAACAUUACAUUUUCACUGUAAAAUUAAGACUAUCUUUAUAAAUU